AACGAACGCUGGCGGCAGGCCUAACACAUGCAAGUCGAGCGCGCCCUUCGGGGUGAGCGGCGGACGGGUGAGUAACGCGUGGUAACUUGCCCUUCUCUACGGAAUAGCCUCGGGAAACUGAGAGUAAUACCGCAUACGCCCUUUGGGGGAAAGAUUUAUCGGAGAAUGAUCGGCCCGCGUUGGUUUAGGUAGUUGGUGGGGUAAUGGCACACCAAGCCGACGAUCCAUAGCUGGUUUGAGAGGAUGAUCAUCCACACUGGGACUGAGACACGGCCCAGACUCCUACGGGAGGCAGCAGUGGGGAAUAUUAGACAAUGGGGGCAACCCUGAUCAAGCCAUGCCGCGUGAGUGAUGAAGGCCUUAGGGUUGUAAAGCUCUUUCAGCUGGGAAGAUAAUGACGGUACCAGCAGAAGAAGCCCCGGCUAACUCCGUG
This 433-nucleotide ribosomal RNA is filed under the name uncultured bacterium. RNAcentral describes it as "partial 16S ribosomal RNA". It matches the Rfam family "Bacterial small subunit ribosomal RNA", at positions 29 to 507 of the family's 1533-position model. The record is from RNAcentral.